AGCCUGCGGUUUAAUUGGACUCAACGCCGGGCAGCUCACCGGAUAAGACAGCUGGAUGAUAGCCGGGCUGAAGACUCUGCUUGACUAGCUGAGAGGAGGUGCAUGGCCGUCGUCAGUUCGUACUGUGAAGCAUCCUGUUAAGUCAGGCAACGAGCGAGACCCACGCCAACAGUUGCCAGCAUGUCCUCCGGGAUGAUGGGGACACUGUUGGGACCGCCUCUGCUAAAGAGGAGGAAGGAAUGGGCAACGGUAGGUCAGCAUGCCCCGAAUUAUCCGGGCCUACACGCGGGCUACAAUGGUCAGGACAAUGGGUAUCGACACCGAGAGGUGGAGGCAAUCUCCUAAACCUGUCCUUAGUUCGGAUUGUGGGCUGCAACUCGCCCACAUGAAGCUGGAAUCCGUAGUAAUCGCGUUUCAAAAUAGCGCGGUGAAUAUGUCCCUGCUCCUU
RNAcentral lists this ribosomal RNA (448 nucleotides) under uncultured Methanolinea sp. RNAcentral's name for it is "bacterial SSU rRNA". It matches the Rfam family "Archaeal small subunit ribosomal RNA", at positions 892 to 1338 of the family's 1478-position model. The record is from RNAcentral. Lineage: Archaea; Methanobacteriati; Methanobacteriota; Methanomicrobia; Methanomicrobiales; Methanoregulaceae.